ACUAAUAAGAUUAUCUUGAAUUUGUUGUUUAGCGCGUAUGCAUUUCUUAUACUCACGCUGAUCCUCCAAUGACGACAGUGUAAGGUAAAGCCCAAUGAAUUAGCAUCUUCAUAACAAGAAUCUGUCUUUCUUCCUCUAUAAUGGCGCACCAUUCAUUCGCAGGCAAGCAGGGGAAAGCAGGAAAAGGGGGACUAGACGGCACCGGCAGUAAGUGGCCAUCAUGCAGGUGCAUACACUGACAUUAUGCCUUGCCAUUUUACAUUCCAAGGAC
This 271-nucleotide long non-coding RNA is filed under the name Volvox carteri. RNAcentral's name for it is "long non-coding RNA (VCAR_LNC004078)". Lineage: Eukaryota; Viridiplantae; Chlorophyta; Chlorophyceae; Chlamydomonadales; Volvocaceae. The record is from RNAcentral.